GAACAGUACUGACGCUGAGAUGCGAAAGCGUGGGAGCAAACAGGAUUAGAUACCCUGGUAGUCACGCUGUAAACGAUGUCGAUUUGGAGUUUGUUGCCUAGAGUGAUGGGCUCCGAAGCUAACGCGAUAAAUCGACCGCCUGGGGAGUGCGGCCGCAAGGUUAAAACUCAAAUGAAUUGACGGGGGCCCGCACAAGCGGUGGAGCAUGUGGUUUAAUUCGAUGCAACGCGAAGAACCUUACCUGGUCUUGACAUCCAUAGAAUUCUGCAGAGAUGUGGGAGUGCCUUCGGGAACUAUGAGACAGGUGCUGCAUGGCUGUCGUCAGCUCGUGUUGUGAAAUGUUGGGUUAAGUCCCGCAACGAGCGCAGCCCUUAUUCUUUGUUGCCAGCGAUUUGGUCGGGAACUCAAAGGAGACUGCCGUUGAUAAAGCGGAGGAAGGUGGGGACGACGUCAAGUCAUCAUGGCCCUUACGACCAGGGCUACACACGUGCUACAAUGGCGUAUACAAAGGGAAGCGAAGGUGCGAGCUGGAGCGGAUCUCAUAAAGUACGUCUAAGUUCGGAUUGGAGUCUGCAACUCGACUCCAUGAAGUCGGAAUCGCUAGUAAUCGUAGAUCAGAAUGCUACGGUGAAUACGUUCCCGGGCCUUGUACACACCGCCCGUCACACCAUGGGAGUGGGUUGCACCAGAAGUAGAUAGCUUAACCGCGAGGGGGGCGUUUACCACGGUGUGAUUCAUGACUGGGGUGAAGUCGUAACAAGGUAACCA
RNAcentral lists this ribosomal RNA (768 nucleotides) under uncultured Enterobacteriaceae bacterium. RNAcentral's name for it is "bacterial SSU rRNA". It matches the Rfam family "Bacterial small subunit ribosomal RNA", at positions 732 to 1502 of the family's 1533-position model. The record is from RNAcentral. Lineage: Bacteria; Pseudomonadati; Pseudomonadota; Gammaproteobacteria; Enterobacterales; Enterobacteriaceae.